CCUACGGGCGGCUGCAGUGGGGAAUAUUGGACAAUGGGCGAAAGCCUGAUCCAGCCAUGCCGCGUGUGUGAAGAAGGCCUUCGGGUUGUAAAGCACUUUCAGUGGGGAAGAAAGCCUUGGGGCUAAUACCCUCGAGGAAGGACAUCACCCACAGAAGAAGCACCGGCUAACUCCGUGCCAGCAGCCGCGGUAAUACGGAGGGUGCGAGCGUUAAUCGGAAUUACUGGGCGUAAAGCGCGCGUAGGCGGUCUGAUAAGCCGGUUGUGAAAGCCCCGGGCUCAACCUGGGAACGGCAUCCGGAACUGUCAGGCUAGAGUGCAGGAGAGGAAGGUAGAAUUCCCGGUGUAGCAGUGAAAUGCGUAGAGAUCGGGAGGAAUACCAGUGGCGAAGGCGGCCUUCUGGACUGACACUGACGCUGAGGUGCGAAAGCGUGGGUAGCAAACAGGAUUAGAUACCCCUGUAGUC
RNAcentral lists this ribosomal RNA (465 nucleotides) under Vreelandella stevensii. RNAcentral's name for it is "partial 16S ribosomal RNA". It matches the Rfam family "Bacterial small subunit ribosomal RNA", at positions 338 to 795 of the family's 1533-position model. Lineage: Bacteria; Pseudomonadati; Pseudomonadota; Gammaproteobacteria; Oceanospirillales; Halomonadaceae. The record is from RNAcentral.